GAUGAACGCUGGCGGCGUGCCUAAUACAUGCAAGUCGAGCGAACGGACGAGAAGCUUGCUUCUCUGAUGUUAGCGGCGGACGGGUGAGUAACACGUGGAUAACCUACCUAUAAGACUGGGAUAACUUCGGGAAACCGGAUCUAAUACCGGAUAAUAUUAUGAACCGCAUGGUUCAAAAGUGAAAGACGGUCUUUCUGUCACUUAUAGAUUGAUCCGCGCUGCAUUAGCUAGUUGGUAAGGUAACGGCUUACCAAGGCAACGAUGCAUAGCCGACCUGAGAGGGUGAUCGGCCACACUGGAACUGAGACACGGUCCAGACUCCUACGGUGGGAAGCAGUAGGGAAUCUUACGCAAGGGGGGAGAGCGUAACGGAGCAAAGCGGGGUGAGGGAUGAAGGUCUUCGGAUCGUAAAACUCUGUUAUUAGGGAAGAACAAAUGUGUAAGUAACUGUGCACAUAUUGACGGUACCUAAUCAGAAAGCCACGGCUAACUACGUG
This 497-nucleotide ribosomal RNA is filed under the name uncultured bacterium. RNAcentral describes it as "partial 16S ribosomal RNA". It matches the Rfam family "Bacterial small subunit ribosomal RNA", at positions 28 to 507 of the family's 1533-position model. The record is from RNAcentral.